GCCGGACCCCCGAGCCCUGCCCGCCCCUCGCUGGGGGUGGGGGGCUUGGGAGGACCUCGCCGCCCCGCGAAAAAAUGGAGCGGAGUAAAUCCCCGAGGUCUGCAAACCGCACGGAGCCGCUUCUCCCCCGCCGGCGGCCUCCUCCUUCUUGGGGGCUGGCAAAGAGGAGCGGCUCCUUUCCGGAUUGCCUUCGCUUCCCUCCAGAUACUGGAUACGGGGCUUAGGCUGGCCGGCUCCAGCUACACAUGCCAAGUGGUUCCUGGGUCUUAGUGCCCUGCGAUCAGGUGAUGCUACUUCCAAGACGCCGGGCAUACAACCAUCUGGAAAAUACGAAAUCAUUUCUAUAGGCCCAUUUAUGUCAACUACCAGGGAGACUGGGGGAAAUCCGGGCAAAAUAAAAACAAGGAAGGGGUUUUUACCCAAAA
Molecule: long non-coding RNA, 425 nt
Organism: Ornithorhynchus anatinus (platypus)
Lineage: Eukaryota; Metazoa; Chordata; Mammalia; Monotremata; Ornithorhynchidae
Exons: 2
Source: RefSeq, a predicted model, not a curated record